Molecule: ribosomal RNA, 503 nt
Filed under: uncultured bacterium
Lineage: Bacteria
Description: bacterial SSU rRNA
Rfam family: Bacterial small subunit ribosomal RNA
Source: RNAcentral
GACGAACGCUGGCGGCGUGCUUAACACAUGCAAGUCGAGCGGCAGCGCGGGAGCAAUCCUGGCGGCGAGCGGCGAACGGGUGAGUAAUGCUUCGGAAUCUGCCCUUCAGUGGGGAAUAACCAGUCGAAAGACUGGCUAAUACCGCAUACGAACUGAGGUUGAAAGCAGGGGAUCGCAAGACCUUGCGCUGAUGGAUGAGCCGAAGUCGGAUUAGCUAGUUGGUAGGGUAACGGCCUACCAAGGCGACGAUCCGUAGCUGGUCUGAGAGGACGACCAGCCACACUGGGACUGAGACACGGCCCAGACUCCUACGGGAGGCAGCAGUGGGGAAUAUUGGACAAUGGGGGCAACCCUGAUCCAGCGACGCCGCGUGUGUGAAGAAGGCCUUCGGGUUGUAAACCGCUUUUGUCAGGGAAGAAAAGUUCCGGGUUAAUACCCUGGGAUGCUGACGGUACCUGAAGAAUAAGCACCGGCUAACUACGUGCCAGCAGCCGACGGUAAAA